Molecule: ribosomal RNA, 750 nt
Filed under: uncultured bacterium
Lineage: Bacteria
Description: bacterial SSU rRNA
Rfam family: Bacterial small subunit ribosomal RNA
Source: RNAcentral
GUCGAACGGUAGAGGGGGCAACCCCUCGAGAGUGGCGAACGGGUGAGUAAUAUAUCGGAACGUGCCCAGUCGUGGGGGAUAACGUAGCGAAAGUUACGCUAAUACCGCAUACGAUCUACGGAUGAAAGCGGGGGAUCGCAAGACCUCGCGCGAUUGGAGCGGCCGAUAUCAGAUUAGGUAGUUGGUGAGGUAAAGGCUCACCAAGCCAACGAUCUGUAGCUGGUCUGAGAGGACGACCAGCCACACUGGAACUGAGACACGGUCCAGACUCCUACGGGAGGCAGCAGUGGGGAAUUUUGGACAAUGGACGCAAGUCUGAUCCAGCCAUUCCGCGUGCAGGAUGAAGGCCCUCGGGUUGUAAACUGCUUUUGUACGGAACGAAAAGGUCUCUCUUAAUACGGGGGGCUCAUGACGGUACCGUAAGAAUAAGCACCGGCUAACUACGUGCCAGCAGCCGCGGUAAUACGGAGGGAGCUAGCGUUGUUCGGAAUUACUGGGCGUAAAGCGUGCGCAGGCGGUUUUGUAAGACAGGCGUGAAAUCCCCGGGCUCAACCUGGGAAUGGCGCUUGUGACUGCAAAGCUGGAGUGCGGCGGAGGGGGAUGGAAUUCCGCGUGUAGCAGUGAAAUGCGUAGAUAUGCGGAGGAACACCGAUGGCGAAGGCAAUCCCCUGGGCCUGCACUGACGCUCAUGCACGAAAGCGUGGGGAGCAAACAGGAUUAGAUACCCUGGUAGUCCACGCCCUAAACGAU